GCUGAGUGCUUGCCUGUUACAUACAGGGUCCUGGGAUCAGUCCACAGCACUGCAAAAACUAAGGAAAACAAAAAUAAAGGCAAGCAGUCUUGUUUGAGUCUCUACUGUUUUAUAGUUACACCGUGCCACCUAGUAUACAUCAGAGGCCAGAGAAACCAGCUGAAGAUCUUCUCUUUGAUAUACAGGAAAAUUCAGAUGUAAUUAAAUUAUUUGGGUAAAUCAAUGAACUUGUUAAUUGCUCCCCUUUAAAGUGUAUUAGACACUAUGAGUCCAGUUAAUCAUCAUUUAUUAGACACAUAUGCGAGGCUGGGUCCUUUGUAUGUGUAGUAAUGAAGCCAGUGUAGUAGUCUAGAGGAAUCUGUUGAAAUGUUGGCCUGAACAGAGGCUCACAGGUCCAUGUACUUUGGUAAUGGGGCUGGAGAACUGGUAAGUUUUCAUCAAGAUUUCUAAGGAGGAACACGUAAUACUGAGUCUUAGUUAUCUUGCUCACUUCAAAUAUAUAAAGCGAAACUAUUAUCCUUCCCAUUAUACAUGAAUGGCACAAAUCUAGAUACUAAUCACUGUACAAAAAAAAAAAAAAAAAAAAAAAAAAAAAACCUUCAUUAAUAGAAAAUGAAGCCACUGUCGUCUUGGCAGCCUGCAUUGUAGGUGCAUCAAUGGACAGUUAGAAUGACCUAUAGAAAUAAAACUGUCUAAAAAAAAAAAAAAACAGCCACUAAAAUAUCUGAAUAAUGUGAAGAAGGGAGAUCUGCCUGUCUUCCAAAUAUUUCAGCAAGGGUUAAAGUUUGAUUGUUUUCCUCUUUGUAAAUCUCUUGCUACUUCCCAAGAAAGUCUGAUUCUAAUUUUAUAAUUUACAAAACACGAAAGAAACAUCAGUGGGAGGAGGCAGCUUACAAGGAAUUAGAAACAUGGGAAGAUAUAACAAAGAUGGAGUGUGGAAUUAGCUGGAACCUCAGCAUGGAGUAAUGGAAGCCAUGGCAAACAGAGGGUCCAAGAUCUCAGCUCUGGGAAGUGUAGGGCACUGGGAAGUGCAGGAGCAGAAUGUGGUGGGCUGAAACACAGUAAAGAAAUCAACUUGAUUAAAGACAUGUUUAAGACUGUGUCACAAAUUUUAAAAAGCAUGUCCCCCUAUUACUUCUUUAAAUUAAUCACUGUGAAAUCUCUUUCUUUUGAGGUUAGAAUAUAGACUUCGUUCUGAAACUGGUCUCAGAAGUAAUCCAUGUGUUUAUUUCUUCUUGGCCCUGACCUAUGGCUAUAACCAAUCUCAGGCAUAGUGAUUGGUGUAUUACAUUCAAAAUACUCGGGACAUAGUGGCUCUUGUUGUUUGCAUACACUCAAUGCCCAUAUGUAAUGAGGGUAUAAAAAAAUAAAAAGCCCCAGACAAAAGCAAACAAACAAAAAACAUCAUUGUUUCCAAAAACAAUUCAAAAAAGUUCCACAAGAUAUUCUGAGUCAAGGCAAUAUUACACUGUAAUCCUUUCAAUGCCAAUUUAUCUUAGCAUGGAAACCCUCACUUGGCUUUAUAAAACCUUAAA
RNAcentral lists this long non-coding RNA (1535 nucleotides) under Mus musculus (house mouse). Its description in RNAcentral is "long non-coding RNA chr3:132099236-132100771". The record is from RNAcentral. Lineage: Eukaryota; Metazoa; Chordata; Mammalia; Rodentia; Muridae.